Molecule: long non-coding RNA, 452 nt
Organism: Sorghum bicolor (sorghum)
Lineage: Eukaryota; Viridiplantae; Streptophyta; Magnoliopsida; Poales; Poaceae
Exons: 3
Source: RefSeq, a predicted model, not a curated record
CAAAAUCUAGCGUCCACAGGCCUCAGCUCAACCUGACCUUCUCCUGCUGCUGACGGACGCCGCACGCGAGGAGCGUUGCAGCCUGCAGGCGCCACCCCGCCGGCCGCUGCUACGCCGCACGCUACCGCCGCUGACCAGCCGCUAGCUGAGCAGCCUCCCAACCCGCCGCAGCGCCGGCCACCGGCCUCCGUGGAUCCCUUCGCGAGUCCGUGUCCGUGGCUCCCGCAGGCACCGCGCCGGCCGACCUCCGCGGCUUCGUGCAGGCGCGUUCAAGUCGCAGGCCGCCGGUCACCGUCCCCCGCUCUCGGACUCCCAGGCUCCGGCCUCCAAGCCUCUGGCCCCCGGCCGUGACCCAUCCGCCCCCUUAACUUUACGAGGACAUGAAAGAUGCAAAUGCACCACCUCACUAGAUACUAGUUAUCCAAACAGGCUGAAGCAUCGGACUCGCUACU